GGGGUCCUGGUGUCUCACAGUACCCAGAAGGUGUCUGCUGGCCACAGGAGGGGAAGAUCCAGUCCCAGUUCACCCUAGAGCCACGGCCAUCUCUGUCAAAGACAACAGGAGACUUUGACCUCCCUGCAAGUCCCAGUAGAGGGUGUACCUGCUUGUCUGUGUGCCCAGAGCUACUGGGGAAGAGGGUAUUGGGCCCAGCUUCCACUCAGCUUAGAACUCCUCACCAGGUACUCUGUGAAAAUGACUCCCAACCAAGGGUCUUCUCAUUUGAACUUGGAAAUGGGAGUGGAGUCUUGGAAUAGAUUUGAGCCUGUGCACAAUGAAUUACAACUUGGGUUGUGUUUUGUAAUCACAUUAGCUUUUACUUUGAAAUCAUGUGCAAGGAACAGACCUGGCCUCUUCCUGCUGAGUUUAGAGAGCACUACCCACUGCCGCUCUCCUCCUUCCUGGUCCUGUUUGCCUUCCCCUCCCCAUGUCCUUUAUCUGCAUUAUCAAAAUAGAAAAA
This 505-nucleotide long non-coding RNA is filed under the name Rattus norvegicus (Norway rat). RNAcentral's name for it is "long non-coding RNA NONRATT005205". Lineage: Eukaryota; Metazoa; Chordata; Mammalia; Rodentia; Muridae. The record is from RNAcentral.